GGGUCCGGUGGUUCAGACCAUCCAUCUCAACAAUAGGCUGGAGAAAUCUUCUCGGUUUGAAUCUUUUUUUAUUAUUAUUACUGUUUGAUUGAUGUUAGGGUUUCAGAAGCCCUUGAGCACGAGCUUCCAUGACGCCUCUGAUGCUCGAGAGGAGGCUAGGUUUGAAUUUUGAUGACCAAAUUCCAGCAAUGUUCCUUAGUGAAAAAAAUAUGAACAUAAACUUUAGGACAUGAUAACAUUACAGCUACAUCUAACGCAGUCUUCCAUCCAUCCAUCACUUGGAAUCUUGAAAGUUGUGAUACGUGCAAUUAAUGAGAUUUUUGGAUGUCUAUCACGGAGGCAAUG
RNAcentral lists this long non-coding RNA (345 nucleotides) under Elaeis guineensis (African oil palm). RNAcentral describes it as "long non-coding RNA (EGUI_LNC011253)". The record is from RNAcentral. Lineage: Eukaryota; Viridiplantae; Streptophyta; Magnoliopsida; Arecales; Arecaceae.